UUUGAGACCAAUUCCUUCCUGUACUUGAUAACCUCAAUGUCGAUGUGAAGCCUUGAAAACAGUUAGAGAAUAUCAGCAGAAUGAUUAGGCAAUCAGGUUUCUUAAAGGUCUUAAUGAUGGAUUUGCAGCUGUUAGAUCUCAGAUCAUGUUAAUUGAUCCUCCCUUGUUAUAGAACAUGAACGACAAAUGAAUUCAGGUGUAAUUUCUCAAUCUAUGGAUCUGAAUCAUA
This 229-nucleotide long non-coding RNA is filed under the name Jatropha curcas. RNAcentral's name for it is "long non-coding RNA (JCUR_LNC001355)". The record is from RNAcentral. Lineage: Eukaryota; Viridiplantae; Streptophyta; Magnoliopsida; Malpighiales; Euphorbiaceae.